GAGUUUGAUCGUGGCUCAGAACGAACGCUGGCGGCAGGCCUAACACAUGCAAGUCGAGCGAACCUUCGGGUUAGCGGCGGACGGGUUAGUAACGCGUGGGAACGUGCCUCUCUCUACGGAAUAGUCCCGGGAAACUGGGUUUAAUACCGUAUACGCCCUUUGGGGGAAAGAUUUAUCGGAGAGAGAUCGGCCCGCGUUGGAUUAGGUAGUUGGUGGGGUAAUGGCCUACCAAGCCGACGAUCCAUAGCUGGUUUGAGAGGAUGAUCAGCAACACUGGGACUGAGACACGGCCCAGACUCCUACGGGAGGCAGCAGUGGGGAAUCUUAGACAAUGGGGGAAACCCUGAUCUAGCCAUGCCGCGUGGACGAUGAAGGCCUUAGGGUUGUAAAGUCCUUUCGCUGGGGAAGAUAAUGACGGUACCCAGUAAAGAAGCCCCGGCUAACUCCGUGCCAGCAGCCGCGGUAAC
Molecule: ribosomal RNA, 467 nt
Filed under: uncultured Alphaproteobacteria bacterium
Lineage: Bacteria; Pseudomonadati; Pseudomonadota; Alphaproteobacteria
Description: bacterial SSU rRNA
Rfam family: Bacterial small subunit ribosomal RNA
Source: RNAcentral